AGUGAACGCUGGCGGUAGGCCUAACACAUGCAAGUCGAACGGCAGCACAGGAGAGCUUGCUCUCUGGGUGGCGAGUGGCGGACGGGUGAGGAAUACAUCGGAAUCUACUCUGUCGUGGGGGAUAACGUAGGGAAGCUUACGCUAAUACCGCAUACGACCUACGGGUGAAAGCAGGGGACCUUCGGGCCUUGCGCGAUUGAAUGAGCCGAUGUCGGAUUAGCUAGUUGGCGGGGUAAAGGCCCACCAAGGCGACGAUCCGUAGCUGGUCUGAGAGGAUGAUCAGCCACACUGGAACUGAGACACGGUCCAGACUCCUACGGGAGGCAGCAGUGGGGAAUAUUGGACAAUGGGCGCAAGCCUGAUCCAGCCAUACCGCGUGGGUGAAGAGGGCCUUCGGGUUGUAAAGCCCUUUUGUUGGGAAAGAAAUCCAGCUGGCUAAUACCCGGUUGGGAUGACGGUACCCAAAGAAUAAGCACCGGCUAACUUCGUGCCAGCCGCCGCGGUAA
RNAcentral lists this ribosomal RNA (506 nucleotides) under uncultured bacterium. Its description in RNAcentral is "partial 16S ribosomal RNA". It matches the Rfam family "Bacterial small subunit ribosomal RNA", at positions 29 to 523 of the family's 1533-position model. The record is from RNAcentral.